This 381-nucleotide ribosomal RNA is filed under the name Pseudomonas sp. TTU2014-066ASC. Its description in RNAcentral is "bacterial LSU rRNA". It matches the Rfam family "Bacterial large subunit ribosomal RNA", at positions 2567 to 2925 of the family's 2925-position model. Lineage: Bacteria; Pseudomonadati; Pseudomonadota; Gammaproteobacteria; Pseudomonadales; Pseudomonadaceae. The record is from RNAcentral.
AAGGGUAUGGCUGUUCGCCAUUUAAAGUGGUACGCGAGCUGGGUUUAGAACGUCGUGAGACAGUUCGGUCCCUAUCUGCCGUGGACGUUUGAGAUUUGAGAGGGGCUGCUCCUAGUACGAGAGGACCGGAGUGGACGAACCUCUGGUGUUCCGGUUGUCACGCCAGUGGCACUGCCGGGUAGCUAUGUUCGGAAGAGAUAACCGCUGAAAGCAUCUAAGCGGGAAACUUGCCUCAAGAUGAGAUCUCACUGGAGCCUUGAGCUCCCUGAAGGGCCGUCGAAGACUACGACGUUGAUAGGCAGGGUGUGUAAGCGUUGUGAGGCGUUGAGCUAACCUGUACUAAUUGCCCGUGAGGCUUGACCAUAUAACACCCAAACAAUU